AUGACCUGGCCGAAAUCGGCUGCUUAACUGACUGAGCCACCCAGGCGCCCCUCUUAUAACUGUAUUUUAAAAAGUUGAAAGAACUAAGGGAACUUAAUUUUGACAAUACAUUUCAUUAUGUAAAUGCAAAAUGUUAUUGCAACAUAUAGUCAACAUACAAAACUUAUUAAUGAGAUAUUUUGUAAUUUUUAAUACAUGGUCUUUAAAAUCUGGUGCAUAUUUUACACUUAUAGCCUGUGUCAGUCCCGACUAACCACAUUUCAGGUGUUCAUCAGUGACUCUUGUCACAGGCAGUCCCUGUCUUGUUUAGUGCAGCUGUACUUUCCUGGUGUUUUGCCAGCAUCACUAGCUCAUACAGGAGUUGUCUGCCAUUAUAAGAGAUCAGUAGCAUCCAGUAAUUGGCUCACCAACUGAUAGAAUUACGUUGCAUUUAGGCAUUUCAGUCCAUAACAACAUGGAUUGGAGAUUUCUCCUUAUUGGGGCCAUGGUUUUUCCUGAUUAUAGAGAGAAAAGGUUGGACUAGAUGACCCUCAAUGUUCUUUCCAGUUGUAGCGUUAUAUAUUUUUCUUUCCUUUUAUUUUUCUUCACAUAUCUCAAACUUGCCUUUUCCCGACAAGUAUAGUGCAGGCAAAAAUGGGAUGCAGGGUCACAUGCCUCUGAAUCUUGUAACAGUAUCAUUUAACUGUGUCUGCCGCAUAUACAAAGACAGUGCCUUUUCCAAAGGAAGCUCCAAUGGAUUUUUAUUGCUACUGCAUUAACUUAUUGCAAAGAUAUGUAGAUACUUUUAGUGAUGUAUUUUUCUUUCUGAUUUAUUAGAUAUUUUCUAAAUUUUGUUAAUUUUAAGACAGCCCUUUGUUGUUGUUAAUAUGAGCUUAUUUAAAAUCUGAUUACAAUGUUAACAUUUUCUUAUGUUGACAUAGCCUAUUAUUCAUGGUUAUGCCUGUUCAGUAUUCAGUAUUAUACCUAUAAUGUAAAAUUUUGCUUAUAUCAUUUUUUGAGUUUUAUUCACUUGGGAAAAUGUCAAACCAUUUCCCUAAAAAGGACUUGAAAAAUCACUCAAAUCAGUGUUCCGAAAGGCAGUUAGUGUUUUUUCUUUUUAUCACUGUACUCUUUAAUACCUUUUCCAGUUAUUUUAAAUUCUGAUAUGCCUAGUUGUCUUUCUUUUUAUAAAUGGCUAUAAAUGUUAUUACCACCUUGUUUGAAAAUGUGUAAUUUCACAGACUGUGUCUAUAUGUGAGAAAAAGUGCUUCACCCGUUCACCAAGUUAAAAAACAGUGUUAUUUUAGGCAAUGGUAAUACUGAAUAACAUUGUGCAUCGAAGCCUGGCUCUUGCUCAGUUACUCCUCCCCCCCUUUCUUUAGAGCCACAUGAAUACUUUCCAGCCUACACCUAGAAAACAGUCUGUGGUCGUUUUUACUUGGACAGUCUUGCUCCAAGGAAUAUUUGGACAUUAGCAUAAAGGUUGCACAUGUUAUACAAAGUGUAAUUAAAGAAGCUUUGAUCCCCAAAUGUCAACUAGCUUGCUAAGUGUCAUAACAAAGUGUCAAGCAUCUGGUAUACAGUUAAUUUGUAGUCAUUAACUCCAUAUUGUUGAUGUGACAGUUUGUUAGCAAAGCAAGCUUGACAGUUGCAUUUUGUUCUUGAUUGACACCUACAGACCUCCCCACCCGUUUAGUUUACAUUCCUGUUGAGGUUUCCUCAGGUUGCAUUUUUACUGCUUAAUUUCCCCCAACUUAUUAGUUGAAGUGCUGGUAAACUUUUAAAAACACAUGCUAUGUUAGUACUGAAUUUCACGUUUCUCCUCUAAAGUGUUCUAAAUUUGUAAUAAUGCUGGAAAUAAAGAAAUGUUGGUGAUCUUUAUUCAGAAUCUAAAGAUUUGUUCAAGUAAUGUGACAGCCCAAGCAUUAUACUGAUGCAUAAUUAUCACAAAUAACAUAUUUAUAAUAUGACAAUUGCUAUGGCAAUUAAUCUAGUCAGCCCUAAUUUCUUGUACAGUUCCAUUAAUUUUUCCACUUUUCAAAGGCUCAGAAAACAGAUAACUGGAUACUUCAUCAUAUUCUUAAUUGCAUUGAUUUAAUCCAAAGAGUCCAUUACAAUCUAAUUUCAGUCCUUUAAUGUUUUAAAAUUUUACUUGUAUUGAAUUAUAUGCAACUUGUUUGAUGCCAAGUUUUUACCACUGUUAUUAAUAAAAUCCCAUUUAAAAAUGUUUUGUAAGACACUUCAUUCUUUACUCUCAUAUAUUUUCUCAUCAUAGCAGUCCUUCAUUCAUAUAUGCAGGAUAUUACUUUAAUGAAUUAUGUUUAUGAAGAGUCAAAUAUAUUUUUAUAAUAUAAUAUAAUAUAUAUAAUAUAAUAUAAUAUAAUAAAUAUAAAUACAUAGCAUGUGUAUGUGUGGAUGUUAACAACUUCCACUUAUUUUGUUUCUGUAGUUUGGAGUGGUUGUAUAGCUAAGCAGAAUGUGUAAUUUAUAAACUUGUAUAUAGUUGUGGCAGCAGUCAGAGGUUUCAUUCACUAAAGGUCAUUUUUUGAAACUGUGUAUUUGGAAAAACUAGACUUUCUAGACAAGCACAAUGAAAUUGACUGAUGAGAAAGUUCUUAUAUUUAUAUUCAGUUCAUCUAGUUCAUUUUCUACUAGCAGAUAAGGCCAUAGUCAAAUCACUUGUUGAUAGGAUGAUAACCCAUUUAUUUCACCACUUGCAUCAACUUUAUCUUUGCCCUCAAAUAAUUAUUGCAAGAAUGCAACAUCACAGGAUAAGGAGUCCCUGCUCAGGGCUCAACGUCUGAAUUCAAGCCUUUAUUUUGUCGCCUAACUGGCCCUAUAGAUAGCUUCAUUUACUUAGGCCUCAUGACUUUUGAUCUGUAAAAUGAAAUCACUGGGCUAGAUAAUCUCUUAUGUUUCUUUUAACUCUAAAAAUUAUAAAUUUGCAUGUAAUUUUGCAUUAUGAUUAGAAAAGAGCUAUCCAUUUAAAUAUAUGUUGUGCCCUCCUAGAACUUGUGUUUUGAGUGGUGUGUAUUUUACACUUCCUGAACAUGCUGGCACAUUCCUCAUCUGUUAGAUGGCUUGGGUGAGAACUAAUCUCAUGAAAUCAUAUUGCAGUUUUGCUCUUAAACCUGGUGCGGUUGCUUUCCUUUCCCAGUUGUACUGACUUUAAGUCAGAGGAGGAGUGAAUUCUCAUUCAGAAUGGAGAAAGGAAACCUUGUUAAUGGAAAGAUGAGAAGGUAUCUGUGGAUGGAGAUGAAAACUUGGGAAGGCUUUAUUAACCUUAUUACAUGAAAGCGGGAAGUGAGGUUCAGGGGAUUAUGCCGAGGGAUGUUUCCAUUGACUUUAUGCUACCCACUAUUUGCAGCAAUAAAGCAGGUAAAAUGGGAAAGGGAUACCAUAAGGAGGGUACUUCUGGCUUGAUAAGAACCAAGGCUAAGUACACUCAAUGAUUUUUCAGAGAGCUUCUCUUGGUUUCUUGGCAUUUAGUUAGAUACUCUCAAGGACGUCAGAGGUUCAGUAAUUGAAUGGUAAACUAGUGGUUGGUGGAGUUCUCUGAGAGAGCUUUAUUUUCUGGUAGACUAUACGUUGUAAUGGAGGAAUUAGAUGGGUCCUAUCUGGUAUUUAGAAAUCAUGCUAACUUCGAGAAAUUUUUUGUUUCAUAACAACUUGUUUUUUUUUCUAUUCAGUGUGUAAUAUAUAAUAGACAUAAAAUGUUUCUGUUAUAGGCUUCUUUGGUUCAGUAUCAAUUAUGCAUUUAUAAUUACAAAAGCUAUUGUUAAUUAUGUUAAUAUUUUACCUUGUGAUGAUUUUGCCCAGAUCUUGUUGGAGAGCUCUAGUACAAGUCUCGUAGAAAACACUUUAUGUGUACGUAUGUAAUACAGUAUAAACAAAUUGAUCAUGUGAAUUUUGAUAUUUUAAUUAUAGUAGGACAGAAUUAUUUAGUAAGAAACUUCUUUUGGGGGGAAAUAUAGUCAGAUAACUUAGAUAAGGAUAGUUAGUGAGUCUAAACCCUGUAAAUAUUCUUACAGAUAGAUAUAAAUGUAGAUUCAACUAUAGCUAUAGAUAUAUAGAUUUUUCCCUGUCCUUAUACACAGGCAUAAUUGGUGAGUUAGUAUGGAAGAAGGUGAAAUAGUUCUCUUAUUUCCUUCAAAUCAGUAUCUAUAAAAUAUUCACAGGAUAUUAUUAAAAAGACACUUUGGUUCAGUACAGUGCUUCUCCAUACUGAUUUUCCUGUUGAGCUGCGACAUUGGUAAUCUAUACUAAUGAGUACAAGAGUCAUUGCAGAUUAUAGUAUUUUGUGAAUUAGCAAGUAAGCAAAACACACAAAUUAAAGAAUCAAGGGCAUCAUAAAAUGUACUGCAUCAUAAAACCUACUUGUUCAUUUAUUUUGACAAGUGUAGUUUAAUUUAAAUUAUUUAUGGUACUUUGUACUCUACAAGUAACUGUAACGUAGUGAAUUUUGUUAAAAAUAAUGAAGUUGAAGCUAUAUGAGCUUUUAGUUAUGAUUGUGCUAAAAGAUUAGAGCCAUCAAUUUAUCUUCUUUACCAUUUCUACAGGCAAAUUCAUAGUAUUUUUUCUUCCUAUUCAGAAGAAAAAGAGUCACCUGAGUCCACUGUAUAUCUUGUCAAUGCUUUUAUAACUUAUACCUUAAUGAAUUCUUUGGGAAUGACGCUCUUUCAUAAACAUUCCAUAUUCAACAAAAUUCCGCCCAAAUCCAGUGAUUUGUGUCAGGUGCUCACUAUUCUACUAAAUUACAUUAUUCCUGUUAAGGCUUACACAUUGGUAGUUACAUAUGAUACAAAUAUUCCCUUGAAUGGAUUCUCCUUUAAUUGCAAAGUGUAUUGUGAUAGAACACUGAUUUGGGCAUUAGAUAAACCUGAAUGCAAAUCUUGGUCUUUUCCGUGUCAUUUAUCCAUAGUCUCAUCUGUAAAGGGAGGUAUUCUUUCUAAAUGACAGUGUUUUUGUGAAUGUUAAAUAACAUAAGCAAAGUAUUUAGUACAGGCCCUGGCAUUUAAUAGGCUUUCAGAAAGUGUUGGUUGUUAUUAUAUUAACUGUUGUUAACCUUUGCAAAAUUGUGGAAUUGGCAAAGUUGGGCUCCGAGUCAGCUUCCACUUUCAACACUUCUGUGUGUUAUUUUUCUUUCAGUGAUAGUGACUCUUGUGUCUUUACAUCUUCACCCCGUUCCUCGCGUGCACACACGCACACACGUACACACUCUGUAUUCUCUACCACAGCCUUCUUAAAUACUGGAAGACUAUUAAAUUCUUACUACUGCCCCUUCAACCUAUUUUUCAGAAGAUUCUGAACCCAACGGGCUGAGAAUUCCAGAAGUAGGUGGGUAAAUCUGUAUCUUUUUCCUCUUCAGCUUCUUUUAACGUUGGGAUCUACGUUAUUAGUUAAUAUUUGAUUAUAAUGUCGCCUUAUAUUUUCUCUCCUUUCUGCUACAACUCUGUAUUUAUUUGUCCAAUUAGUUUGGAUGAUGAAGAUUUGUAUCAUUUGAGUAUAUAUGUUUUGUUAUAAAGCUGUUCUUAAAUAAGACUGUGUCCCAUGUAGAAGGCAGUACAUCUUUGUUUGCAAGGAAUAGAAAAUUAAUGUUACUAUAUGUUGAGGGGUAAUAACAUUCAUUUUUUUCCUCCUUACAUUUUGAGUUGACUUUUUUCUUGAGUUUUAUUUAUUAGUUAGUGGCACCAUUUUCAACUUUAAAAGUGCACUUGUUAAUAUUAUGAUUCUAAGUACACUUUUCAGCAUAAAGGAAUUUUUUUCCUUUUCACAUAUUUGUUUCUACUUGAGAUGUGUUAUUAACAUCUCAUCAGAAAAAGGUUUUGCUAGUCAUAAAGUUAUUUCUAGGAAUAUACAUGACAAAACUUUAUGAAAGUAUAACAAUGAUCCAUUUAGUCCUCCUUUAUGAAGACAUUUAAAGCAUAUAAAUGGUCUAUGCUUUAAAGUAUCCUUCAGAAUUACAAAUACGUUAAGGAAUCUAAUUUGUAUGCGCCGGUGUUCAUUCCCGUGUUUGUGCUGGCUUUAAGUAGCCGCAUAGCUUUUAAUUGUGAGGUUUUAAGUUCUGCAAUUAAAAUUUACCCUUUUUACUAAGAGGGUUGAGUGAUAGUUUUUGAUUUACUUUAGACAGUUUAGACAAAUUAUAUUUAAAAGAGCAUAAAGAUGCACAGAGCAUUUCCUGAUUCAGAGAAGGUCAAAGUGUCUUAGUCGCAUUUUUUGAAAGUUUUACCUUGAAUAACUAAUGAUUCCUCCUACUGUAUUGACUAAACCUCGCUGAAGACAUACAAGUAGGAUGUCAAACUGCUCCAGAACAUUGACUUCUUUGAAAUCAGUGACCAAAUGACCUUGACAGAACAGGGAACAUGAUAUUUUAUAUCUUAAGAUAUUAUAUUAAAAUCACCUCUAUGAAGGAUGCAGAAUCAGAUUACAUUAGUGCCUCCAAUGAUGCUUAUAUUUCUUUUCUGAUUACUUUUGUGUUUAUAAAAAUAAUGAAAAUUCUUUGCAAACUACUAGAAAAUCUCUUUAGAGCUUUGGCCAUAUCAAAAGUGUAGUAGAAAUUUUGCAGGCAGAUGUUUAAUUUGAUCAAGGCAGACCAUAAAAUGGAUAAUUCUGGUCCAUAAUGAAAGUUGAGGUCACAGAAACAGGUUGUGGAAUUGUGGAAUAAUAACAACAACAAAUCUUUUGGAGACUUUUUAGAAGCGGCACAUUAACAAGGGAUUGCAAAUUUGAAAUAGAAUUUAAAUUAAUUCCUGAAAAAUCUGGAGAUACCUGUGUAAAGCAGUGAGAAAAGCAUAUGGAAAUGUAGAUGUGGAAAUGUAAGAGAAAGCAAUUUGAGGUCUACUUGGCAUAGCUUCAUAUGGUGGGCCCGUUGGUCCAAGGUUGGAGGUGAUAUCAGAGAUAAGGUAAUGGUCACAUCAUGAAAGGUCUAUGUGUCAGCAUAUUAAGUAGGGGAGAUGGUUGUGUGUUCAAACUAUAUAAAUUACUCUCAUAACAUUAUUUCAUGGGGAUGAUAUUACCACCAGGAAAAUAUUCAGGAGAUAGUGGUGAAGCAAUGUUAGAAAUUAUGAGAACCUUUUAGGCUUAUAUUACCCAGGCAGUGUCAGUUGAGACAUAGAAAACAUGACAGAUCCAAGAAAUAUUUAAGAUUUGAACUGAGAGAUAUUGCCAAAUUAUUUGGAUGGAAACAAAAAUUGGGGUGUGGAUUAAUUUCUUAAAAAUACUUUUAUUUGUUGAUUUGUAGAAAUGAAUCACCAAAUGUUGAUAUUACAUCCAUGUAAUCAUACGACCAAAGAUAACGUAGUAGAUUCAUAUUUCCAAAAAUAUUUAUAAAUGAAGGGAAUAAUAGCUUAAAAUAAAAACCAAAGUUAGUUUUUGGCUUUAAGACAGAAUAAAAAUUUACUUUGACCAGUCUUAAAGCCACACACUUCUGUUUUCUCUGUGAGUUUGUAAAGAUUUAUGAAGCUACCCGAUUGUUAAUGGCAAAUAACAGCUGCUAUUUUUACAUAUUCAGGGAUUUUUUUUUCUUUUUUGCAAUCUGUGAUAAAUACUGGCAGAGCAUUAUAAAAUGACAGGGGUGCAGAAAGCGCAAAUGAACUGGGAAAAAUGAGGAUCCAAUAUUUAUUCUAAUCUCACUGAAACUACAGUUUUGAACUAUAAAUACAGUAGCAAAUAAGCUUAUUGGCAUGUUUCUGUGUUGUUGUUUUUGGAUAUAAAGCUCCCGUUUUAAUAGACAAUUGCUAAUUUAGCAUAAAUAUAACGUGUGAGUGUAUUAUGUAUGCCAUUAUAAGGGAAAUGAUUUACUUGUUCAUUCUGUUCUGUAAAAGCAGGGACUGCCUUAGGCAAAACUGCAAAGCCAGAAGUUCCCCUCUCGUGCCCUCCUACAACUCAUUCUGGGAACCCAGCUCUGCCCUGGACUUGUCACACUGCCACUAUCUACUUCCCCCCGUCCCUGGGUGCCCAGGAUGGUGUUCUCUCCAUAUUUCUUAUACUAGAAUGUAAAUUCACAUCUACUUGAUGAUUUUUAGAUUCAUAAUCAAUUGAUGAAAAGAAAGUAACUAGUUGUGGUAUGUUGACAAAAGUGUCAUGACAUUUUGGAAGGACUCCAUCUUUUUGUAUCAAAUCCAAAUAAACUGCUCUCUGUGGAGAUUUUAGGUUCAGUAGAGGAAGAUGUUGAUAUCAUCAUAGGUUAGAAAAGGAAAUAUUUGGAGGCAAGCAGACCAAGAGUAGUUAACGAUAUUGUGAGAUAAUGGUGAGUUUUGAGAGAUCUGAUCAGGCAAUUCUUCACAAUAUGUAAUACUGCUUAGAUUUAAAUAAUUUUAUUUUGAUUAGAAUGACAUUAACAAGUACUGAUAUAUAAUAAUAGGUAAUGCCGAGGUUUUUGUACUUACGUCUUUGUUCUUGGGUAAUUAUCAAUGGCUGACUGCUUAUAAGGCAAAAACAUUAAAAAGAAUAGUAUAAAAUUUUUCCUAGUUAAAAAUAAUGGAAAAGAAUUAAAUUGUCAAACUAUAUUCUCUUAGACUCUAAGUGAAUUUUGUGACAAGUAAGUUCUAUUAUCCCAGUGUGUAACAUCAAUGCCACAGAUCAAAAGGAAACUUUGUAAUUCAGUGCUAUGAUUCUAGAAUGUCUCAUGAAAACUACUGAGUCUCAGCAAAAUACUUUGACCUUUAUGGCUAAACACCUGGUCAAUUUUAAAUAAUCUAGGAUGACAUUUCUUGGAAUAGACUCAAAAUUCUAAUAAAUGGAAGAAUUGGAAAAUAUAUCUCUUUUAAAAAUCCUUGAUCAUCCUUUGAUGACAAGUCUCACAAAGAAAAGAGUAUAAAAAUUAGAAAGUAUUCAAAUGGAUUUUAUUAUCACAUUUCUUUGGCUGAGCAAAUAUAAGAACUGUGCAUUUUCAACCACUGUAAAAAGAAACAAAAAUCUCUCACUAAAAAUUACCAAAAUAGCCAUCUAAUUAAAAAAAAAAAAAAAAGCCUUUUCAGGAGACUCUAACAGUAAACCAGAAUAUUCAGUAC
Molecule: long non-coding RNA, 8990 nt
Organism: Felis catus (domestic cat)
Lineage: Eukaryota; Metazoa; Chordata; Mammalia; Carnivora; Felidae
Exons: 2
Source: RefSeq, a predicted model, not a curated record